Pecten maximus is the source of this 499-nucleotide long non-coding RNA. RefSeq lists it as uncharacterized. The transcript is spliced from 3 exons. The record is from RefSeq and is a predicted model, not a curated record. Lineage: Eukaryota; Metazoa; Mollusca; Bivalvia; Pectinida; Pectinidae.
GUUUACAUCAAAUAGUUAGCUUCCUUUCUGAUUUUGUGCACAUGCUUGAUUCCUUGGAGGUUAUAAUAGAUCCUACGAGUCCAAGAUGAGUCCCGAGAUGAAAAAGAGAGUAUCAACAGUUUUAAAUUGUGCAAGGGUGACAUUUCAAUAUGGUUUCAUUCCAGCUGUGAUAUAUCUAGGUUUCAAAAAUGGGGCUGAUGAAGGAAUGCCAGAUCUGACCUGGCAGAGUCUCUUGUGGCAGUGAGUUGGACUUCAUCAUCAUGUUAUCAUUGCUUCACCUGGCUUAUCAAAUCAACAGUGGAGGGCUUGUGUGUCUGAACUAGUUAAUGUGGUAGAUUCAAAUCUACAAGUGACAAAAAACACCAUGUCAUGAAUGGCAACAACUGUAAUCUAUGAAAACCAUGCAGACCAUGUGAUAGAAAUAACUUUUUAGUACAAAGUUGUCAUCCAGAUGUAUAUUAUUUCUCUUUCAUGUGUAAUAUUAAAAUUUUAUUGACUA